RNAcentral lists this ribosomal RNA (358 nucleotides) under uncultured bacterium. RNAcentral describes it as "bacterial SSU rRNA". It matches the Rfam family "Bacterial small subunit ribosomal RNA", at positions 131 to 484 of the family's 1533-position model. The record is from RNAcentral.
UGGUAGUGGGGGAUAACGUUCCGAAAGGAACGNUAAUACCGCAUACGUCCUACGGGAGAAAGCAGGGGACCUUCGGGCCUUGCGCUAUCAGAUGAGCCUAGGUCGGAUUAGCUAGUUGGUGAGGUAAUGGCUCACCAAGGCGACGAUCCGUAACUGGUCUGAGAGGAUGAUCAGUCACACUGGAACUGAGACACGGUCCAGACUCCUACGGGAGGCAGCAGUGGGGAAUAUUGGACAAUGGGCGAAAGCCUGAUCCAGCCAUGCCGCGUGUGUGAAGAAGGUCUUCGGAUUGUAAAGCACUUUAAGUUGGGAGGAAGGGCAUUAACCUAAUACGUUAGUGUUUUGACGUUACCGACAG